AGAGUUUGAUCAUGGCUCAGAAUGAACGCUGGCGGCAGGCCUAACACAUGCAAGUCGAGCGGGGACUUCGGUCCUAGCGGCGGACGGGUGAGUAACGCGUGGGAACAUACCCUUUGGUACGGAAUAGCCUCGGGAAACUGAGAGUAAUACCGUAUGUGGUCGUAAGACGAAAGAUUUAUCGCCAAAGGAUUGGCCCGCGUUGGAUUAGGUAGUUGGUGGGGUAAUGGCCUACCAAGCCGACGAUCCAUAGCUGGUUUGAGAGGAUGAUCAGCCACACUGGGGCUGAGACACGGCCCAGACUCCUACGGGAGGCAGCAGUGGGGAAUCUUAGACAAUGGGCGCAAGCCUGAUCUAGCCAUGCCGCGUGAUCGAUGAAGGCCUUAGGGUUGUAAAGAUCUUUCAGUGGGGAAGAUAAUGACGUACCCACAGAAGAG
This 434-nucleotide ribosomal RNA is filed under the name uncultured Rhodobacter sp. Its description in RNAcentral is "bacterial SSU rRNA". It matches the Rfam family "Bacterial small subunit ribosomal RNA", at positions 8 to 489 of the family's 1533-position model. The record is from RNAcentral. Lineage: Bacteria; Pseudomonadati; Pseudomonadota; Alphaproteobacteria; Rhodobacterales.